This 416-nucleotide ribosomal RNA is filed under the name Dissostichus eleginoides (Patagonian toothfish). RNAcentral's name for it is "partial 12S ribosomal RNA". It matches the Rfam family "Bacterial small subunit ribosomal RNA", at positions 7 to 769 of the family's 1533-position model. The record is from RNAcentral. Lineage: Eukaryota; Metazoa; Chordata; Actinopteri; Perciformes; Nototheniidae.
CAAAGGCUUGGUCCUGACUUUAUUAUCAGCUUUAGCCGAACUUACACAUGCAAGUAUCCGCACCCCUGUGAGAAUGCCCUCAGUUCCCUGCCUGGGAACAAGGAGCUGGUAUCAGGCACAAUUUAAGCCCAUGACACCUUGUUUAGCCACACCCUUAAGGGAACUCAGCAGUGAUAGAUAUUAAGCCAUAAGUGAAAACUUGACUUAGUAAAAGCUAAGAGGGCCGGUAAAACUCGUGCCAGCCACCGCGGUUAUACGAGAGGCCCAAGUUGAUUACUUACGGCGUAAAGAGUGGUUAGGGAGGAAUCAGUACUAAAGCCGAAUGUUUUCAAGGCUGUUGUACGCACCCGAAAACGAGAAGUUCAACCACGAAAGUGGCUUUAUUUAAACCCUGAACCCACGAAAGCUAGGGAACA